CAUACAAAAAUGGAAAAGACUCUGUCGGGGAACAACAACAUCUGCAGGGGAUACGAGUAAGUAAGGAUAAAGCUAAAGUACUUGAAUCAUGCAGGAAAAGCGAUUUCACUAAGGAAACGCGCACUCAACUCGACUGGGGAAGAAAUAAACUUCAACACAGGAGGAGCAGAAAUCUAUUAUCUACUACCUGUUACUAGGUGAGGAGAUAAUAAAGAUCUGA
This 220-nucleotide long non-coding RNA is filed under the name Lathyrus oleraceus (garden pea). RNAcentral's name for it is "Pisum sativum (pea) long non-coding RNA (PSAT_LNC036740)". Lineage: Eukaryota; Viridiplantae; Streptophyta; Magnoliopsida; Fabales; Fabaceae. The record is from RNAcentral.